ACCAGGCGCAGUGGCACGUGCCUGUAAUCCCAGUGGCUUGGGAGGCUGAGGCAGGAGGAUCAUGGGUUCAAAGCCAGCCUCAGCAGCAGUGAGGCACUAAGCCACUCAGUGAGACCCUGUCUCUA
This 125-nucleotide small RNA is filed under the name Marmota monax (woodchuck). The record is from RNAcentral. Lineage: Eukaryota; Metazoa; Chordata; Mammalia; Rodentia; Sciuridae.